Molecule: ribosomal RNA, 327 nt
Filed under: uncultured eukaryote
Lineage: Eukaryota
Description: partial 18S ribosomal RNA
Rfam family: Eukaryotic small subunit ribosomal RNA
Source: RNAcentral
CCCUUAGAUGUUCUGGGCUGCACGCGCGCUACACUGAUGCGCUCAACGAGUUUUAACCUUGCCUGGAAAGGUUGGGUAAUCUUUUUAAAACGCAUCGUGAUGGGGAUAGAUUAUUGCAAUUAUUAAUCUUCAACGAGGAAUUCCUAGUAAACGCAAGUCAUCAGCUUGCAUUGAUUACGUCCCUGCCCUUUGUACACACCGCCCGUCGCACCUACCGAUUGAAUGGUCCGGUGAAAUCUUGGGAUUUUGUUUUGUUUGCAUUUAUUUGUAUCGAGACGAGAGAACUUGAGUAAACCUUACCAUUUAGAGGAAGGUGAAGUCGUAACA